UCGGGAAUUUUGGGCAAUGGGCGCAAGCCUGACCCAGCAACGCCGCGUGAAGGAUGAAAUCUUUCGGGAUGUAAACUUCACAAGAACGGGAAGAAUAAGUAAGUGUAAAUACCACUUAUGAUGACGGUACUGUUUGUAAGCUCCGGCUAACUCCGUGCCAGCAGCCGCGGUAAUACGGGGGGAGCAAGCGUUGUUCGGAUUUACUGGGCGUAAAGGGCGCGUAGGCGGCGCAACAAGUCACUUGUGAAAUCUUCAGGCUUAACCUGAAGCGGCCAAGUGAUACUGUCGUGCUAGAGUGCGGAAGGGGCAACUGGAAUUCUUGGUGUAGCGGUGAAAUGCGUAGAUAUCAAGAGGAACACCUGCGGCGAAGGCGGGUUGCUGGGCCGACACUGACGCUGAGGCGCGAAAGCUAGGGGAGCGAACGG
RNAcentral lists this ribosomal RNA (425 nucleotides) under uncultured bacterium. Its description in RNAcentral is "bacterial SSU rRNA". It matches the Rfam family "Bacterial small subunit ribosomal RNA", at positions 355 to 775 of the family's 1533-position model. The record is from RNAcentral.